UACAGAGGGUGCGAGCGUUAAUCGGAAUUACGGGGCGUAAAGCGCACGUAGGCGGCUUUGCAAGUCGGGUGUGAAAUCCCCGGGCUCAACCUGGGAACUGCAUCCGAGACUGCUUUGCUCGAGUAUGGGAGAGGGAAGUGGAAUUUCCGGUGUAGCGGUGAAAUGCGUAGAUAUCGGAAGGAACAUCAGUGGCGAAGGCGACUUCCUGGACCAAUACUGACGCUCAGGUGCGAAAGCGUGGGGAGCAAACAGG
This 253-nucleotide ribosomal RNA is filed under the name uncultured bacterium. RNAcentral's name for it is "partial 16S ribosomal RNA". It matches the Rfam family "Bacterial small subunit ribosomal RNA", at positions 524 to 776 of the family's 1533-position model. The record is from RNAcentral.